AUCACUAGAGAUCUUGUUAAAAUUCAGGUUCCAAUUCAGUAGGUCUGGAGUGGGGCCCAGGAUUCUGCAUUUCUAACAAGCUCCUAGGUGAUGCUGA
This 97-nucleotide microRNA precursor is filed under the name Felis catus (domestic cat). Its description in RNAcentral is "mir-544 microRNA precursor family". It matches the Rfam family "mir-544 microRNA precursor family". Lineage: Eukaryota; Metazoa; Chordata; Mammalia; Carnivora; Felidae. The record is from Rfam by way of RNAcentral.